Lepus europaeus (European hare) is the source of this 837-nucleotide long non-coding RNA. RefSeq lists it as uncharacterized. The record is from RefSeq and is a predicted model, not a curated record. The transcript is spliced from 5 exons. Lineage: Eukaryota; Metazoa; Chordata; Mammalia; Lagomorpha; Leporidae.
GCGGGCGGCGACAGACCCGCCGUGCGCUCAGCGAGCAGCCGCCCAGCGCCCGGCGCCCAGCCCGGUGCCGCGGCUCGGCGCGGCCCCCCAGCCAGCGCCCCCACCCGGAGCCGAUUACCUGCAAUGAUGAAAUGAAGUAACUCAAGAUGAGCAAGUUAAAAGUGGUAUCAGAGAAAAGCCUUACCAAUAAUUCUUGGAUUGUGGGACUCCUGGCUCAGCUGGAGCAAAUAAACACUAAAUCAGCAGAAUCGGAUACUGCCAGAUAUGUCACAUCAAAGAUUCUUCAUCUUGCUCAAAGUCAAGGUGGAGAGUCACAGAGAGGCAGAGGCAGAGAGAGAGAAGUCUUCACUCCCCAAAUGGCCACAAUGGCCAGAGCUGUGCAAAUCUGAAGCCAGGAACCAGGAGAUUCUUCCAGGUCUCCCACAUGCAUGCAGAGGCCCAAGGACUUCAAGGCUCAUUCUUGUUGUAGCAUUCAUCAGUGUUCCCUUUUUAUGGCUGAAUUAUGGGUCAUUCAUUGCUUGUUGUGGUGGAAUGAGAAGGCCAUGCCAAGGUGGCCACUGGCAAGCAAGCAUCAGUUACUCAGGAAUGGCUUUGGAAACUGCCUGGCAACAGGCUGUGAUUGGAUGGCUUUGGAAACUGCCUGCAAACUGUGAUUGGAUGGCUUUGGAAACCACCUGGCAAACUGUGAUUGGUUGGGGCAUAGACCGCCCCUUGACAGGAUUGGCUGGUCUUGGCUAUAUAAGCUGUUGUACCACCUGAAGUAAACAAGUCUGCGGGCUGCUCGCCUCAAGCCUGCUUUCACCUGACUCCCCGGGGUCUGUGUGGUGACUCUGUGCC